UUCAUUCUCUGUACAUGAGAGUUCUUCACUAGCCAACACUCCGCCCCAUACAACAUGGCAGGUCUAACCACAACUCUAUAAAAUUUCCCCUUGAGUUUCUGUGGAACUAUCUUGUCACACAGGACUCUUAAUGCAAGCCUCCACUUUGACCACUCCGCUCCUAUACGAUGAGUCACAUCCCCGUCAAUCUCUCCGUCCCCUGAAUCACCGACCCAAGAUAUCUGACAC
Molecule: long non-coding RNA, 228 nt
Filed under: Nicotiana benthamiana
Lineage: Eukaryota; Viridiplantae; Streptophyta; Magnoliopsida; Solanales; Solanaceae
Description: long non-coding RNA (NBEN_LNC042216)
Source: RNAcentral